UGCCGCAGCUAACGUGUUAAGUGUGCCGCCUGGGGAGUACGGCCGCAAGGCUAAAACUCAAAGAAAUUGACGGGGGCCCGCACAAGCGGAGGAGCAUGUGGCUUAAUUCGAUGCAACGCGAAGAACCUUACCCGGGUUUGACAUGUGACUGCACGUCCCGUGAAAGCGGGAUUCCUUCGAGGGUGUCACACAGGUGCUGCAUGGCUGUCGUCAGUUCGUGCCGUGAGGUGUUUGGUUAAGUCCAGCAACGAACGCAACCCCUGUGGCCAGUUGCCAGCGCGUAAUGGCGGGAACUCUGGCCAGACUGCCUGUUUACACAGGAGGAAGGUGGGGACGACGUCAAGUCAGUAUGGCCCUUACAUCCGGGGCUGCACACGUGCUACAAUGGCCGGUACAAAGGGACGCAAGACCGCGAGGUGGAGCAAACCCCCAGAGCCGGCCCCAGUUUCAUGAUUGGGGUCUGCAACCCGACCGCAUGAAGUCGGAUUCGUCUAGUAAGCGGCGCAUU
This 508-nucleotide ribosomal RNA is filed under the name uncultured bacterium. RNAcentral's name for it is "bacterial SSU rRNA". It matches the Rfam family "Bacterial small subunit ribosomal RNA", at positions 844 to 1351 of the family's 1533-position model. The record is from RNAcentral.